This 505-nucleotide ribosomal RNA is filed under the name Paenibacillaceae bacterium CL2.81. RNAcentral describes it as "bacterial SSU rRNA". It matches the Rfam family "Bacterial small subunit ribosomal RNA", at positions 14 to 495 of the family's 1533-position model. The record is from RNAcentral. Lineage: Bacteria; Bacillati; Bacillota; Bacilli; Caryophanales; Paenibacillaceae.
UGAUCCCUGGCUCAGGACGAACGCUGGCGGCAUGCCUAAUACAUGCAAGUCGAGCGGAGUUGUUUUGGAAGCUUGCUUCCAAAUCAACUUAGCGGCGGACGGGUGAGUAACACGUAGGUAACCUGCCUGUAAGAUUGGGAUAACUACCGGAAACGGUAGCUAAUACCGAAUAAUUUGUUUCUUCUCAUGAAGAGACAAUGAAAGGCGGAGUAAUCUGCCACUUACAGAUGGGCCUGCGGCGCAUUAGCUAGUUGGUGAGGUAACGGCUCACCAAGGCGACGAUGCGUAGCCGACCUGAGAGGGUGAACGGCCACACUGGGACUGAGACACGGCCCAGACUCCUACGGGAGGCAGCAGUAGGGAAUCUUCCGCAAUGGACGAAAGUCUGACGGAGCAAUGCCGCGUGAGUGAUGAAGGUUUUCGGAUCGUAAAGCUCUGUUGCCAGGGAAGAACACUUGGGAGAGUAACUGCUCUCAAGGUGACGGUACCUGAGAAGAAAGCCCCG